UUCCGGUUGAUCCUGCCGGACCUGACUGCUAUCGGAUUGAUACUAAGCCAUGCGAGUCUUUGUAGUAAUACAAGGCAGACGGCUCAGUAACACGUAGUCAACCUACCCUAUGGACGAGAAUAAUCUCGGGAAACUGAGCAUAAUUCUUGAUAGAUCAUAAUGCCUGGAAUGGUUUAUGGUUAAAAUGAUUCGUCGCCAUAGGAUGGGACUGCGGCCUAUCAGCUUGUUGGUGAGGUAAUGGCCCACCAAGGCGAUUACAGGUACGGGCUCUGAGAGGAGAAGCCCGGAGAUGGGUACUGAGACACGGACCCAGGCCCUAUGGGGCGCAGCAGGCGAGAAAACUUUGCAAUGUGCGAAAGCACGACAAGGUUAAUCCGAGUGAUUUCUGCUAAAGAAAUCUUUUGCCAGUCGUAAAAACGCUGGUGAAUAAGGGGUGGGCAAGUUCUGGUGUCAGCCGCCGCGGUAAAACCAGCACCUCAAGUGGUCAGGAUGAUUAUUGGGCCUAAAGCAUCCGUAGCCGGCUUUGUAAGUUUUCGGUUAAAUCCAUGUGCUCAACGCAUGGGCUGCCGAAAAUACUGCAUAGCUAGGGAGUGGAAGAGGUAGACGGUACUCAGUAGGUAGGGGUAAAAUCCUUUGAUCUAUUGAUGACCACCUGUGGCGAAGGCGGUCUACCAGAACACGUUCGACGGUGAGGGAUGAAAGCUGGGGGAGCAAACCGGAUUAGAUACCCGGGUAGUCCCAGCUGUAAACGAUGCAGACUCGAUGAUGCAUUGGCAUAAUAGCCAUUGCAGUGUCGCAGGGAAGCCGUUAAGUCUGCCGCCUGGGAAGUACGUACGCAAGUAUGAAACUUAAAGGAAUUGGCGGGGGAGCACCACAAGGGGUGAAGCCUGCGGUUCAAUUGGAUUCAACGCCGGG
Molecule: ribosomal RNA, 915 nt
Filed under: uncultured marine archaeon
Lineage: Archaea
Description: bacterial SSU rRNA
Rfam family: Archaeal small subunit ribosomal RNA
Source: RNAcentral